RNAcentral lists this ribosomal RNA (750 nucleotides) under uncultured bacterium. Its description in RNAcentral is "bacterial SSU rRNA". It matches the Rfam family "Bacterial small subunit ribosomal RNA", at positions 45 to 788 of the family's 1533-position model. The record is from RNAcentral.
GGGAGGUUACAUGGCAGUCGAGGGGCAUCGGGAGGGAGCUUACUUUCCUUGCCGGCGACCGGCGCACGGGUGAGCAUACGUAUGCAACCUGCCCUCUUCAGGGGGACAACCUUCCCAAAGGGAGGCUAAUCCCGCGUAUAUCGGUUUCGGGCAUCCGUUAUCGAGGAAAGAUUCAUCGGAAGAGGAUGGGCAUGCGGCGCAUUAGCUAGACGGCGGGGUAACGGCCCACCGUGGCGACGAUGCGUAGGGGUUCUGAGAGGAAGGUCCCCCACACUGGUACUGAGACACGGACCAGACUCCUACGGGAGGCAGCAGUGAGGAAUAUUGGUCAAUGGGAGAGAUCCUGAACCAGCCAAGCCGCGUGAGGGAAGACGGCCCUAUGGGUUGUAAACCUCUUUUGUCGGAGAACAAAACCCGGGACGUGUCCCGGACUGCGUGUAUCCGAAGAAAAAGCAUCGGCUAACUCCGUGCCAGCAGCCGCGGUAAUACGGAGGAUGCGAGCGUUAUCCGGAUUUAUUGGGUUUAAAGGGUGCGUAGGCGGUCUGUUAAGUCAGCGGUAAAAUUGCGGGGCUCAACCCCGUCGAGCCGUUGAAACUGGCAGACUUGAGUUGGCGAGAAGUACGCGAAAUGCGCGGUGUAGCGGUGAAAUGCAUAGAUAUCGCGCAGAACUCCGAUUGCGAAGGCAGCGUACCGGCGCCAGACUGACGCUGAGGCACGAAAGCGUGGGGAUCGAACAGGAUUAGAUACCCU